This is a long non-coding RNA of Zonotrichia leucophrys gambelii, 219 nucleotides long. RefSeq lists it as uncharacterized. The record is from RefSeq and is a predicted model, not a curated record. The transcript is spliced from 3 exons. Lineage: Eukaryota; Metazoa; Chordata; Aves; Passeriformes; Passerellidae.
UGACCCCACACGGCUGGAAACAGGAUCGAGGGAAGCGGGGCGGGAGGCGCCUCGUUCCACAGUCCGGAUGGAACGUCCGGCCUCACAAGACAGGUUUUGAAGGAGGAAGUGUCACACACAAACGGAAUGGUGUCCUACCCUUUGGCCUUGGCUCAGAGGUGAACAACAUGUGGUUAAGAUAAAUAAGGGCCUUGGAAUCCAGCUCAGAACAAGCAGGUA